AAACAUUCAUCACUUCUGCUGGAGCAUAGCUCAUGGUACACAUUAGGAAAUUUCCAGUAGCUGCAAGAACAAUACAAACAGAAAUCAGUAAAGGUCUCUGUGUUACAAGUGCAUCUGAAGGACGCUCUGUGAGGCAACCCCCCAGGAGCUGCCAAAGCAGGUUUCUGUCAGAAGAUGAAAGUAAGCUUCUUCUCUGAAAAUGAACUGCUUUGUAGGAAAAAGGAAGCAAAAACAUUUUUCUUCCCAUCAGCUCAUUUCCUUCCUAAACUAACUCCAUCAUUUCCUAAGCCUACCUAGCACCUUUCUAUUUAAUAAGUUUAUCUGCAAAGUGCUUAAUUCUGCUGCUUCUCCAAUUCUCGGAGGUAGGCAAUCUAAGACUAUUUGCAAAUACCCUUUGAACUGAAGUGAUGAGAGACUGCAAUUAAUCAAAAGGUUGAAUCUAUAGAAAAGCCCUAUUAAAAUCUUGGGAACUGCUGAGGAGGUAAUGGCUAACUGUUCCCAAGGGGAUGAAAAAUAAUAAAGAAACAAAAACUAUUUAGGAAUCCUAUUAACAAAAUGUAUCAGACUGUAUAUGAAACUGUAUAAAAAGAUUUCAAAGCCAAAUGAGGCUUUGAGGAAAAAAAAAAACUUGGUAUUGUUUUGGUUUCUUUGUAUAAAUGCAUAGUCAGGCAUUCAUACUUCAACUGAAUGUGUGUCUUAUUUUCUGCCUGACCUCCAUCUCAUUCAGAAAGAUUGUCCCCAUAAAGUCAUUCUCCUGCCUUUCAGCAGGAUAGUUUUUAUCCUACUCUGUCAGUACCUUGAGAAAAGUACCCCUAAGGAAAUCAAUGAAAGAAAGGGCAACUGCUUGUAUUUUGGAGCACAGGGCUUAAAAUAUCUCCUCCGCCACUGUUUGCCAAUGCCACCAGCGAAGCAAGGAUAACAGCAGCUUCUUCCUGCCUUGUUCAGUGUGCAGGAUUGUUAUUUAGAAUUCAGUAUCUGCAGCAGCAGGGUGCUGACAUCCUCUGUCAUUUUCAGAUGUUGCAUGGAACAUAAGGAGCAGCCAGUGUGUUGGGGGAGGGCUAGGAGGGGGUGUGGUGUCAUGAGCCAUUGGGUUGGAGGGAGUCACGAAGAAACCUGUCCCAAGAAUGAGGAGCAACAAAGAGCUGGACAGAGGUACUAUUUCAACUCCUGCCUCCCACUUUUGAAAAGAGAGAAAGUAAGGAUUUAAGGACUUCCUAAACCACAUACGAGACAAAACAUACUGUGAAAAUGAAUCAUGUUUUCUUCUACCUCAUUAGACAAGGAGAUUUUCUUGGAAAGAAAUUCUUGAAAAUAUCAUUGCAGGAUAAUUGCUCUCAUGCACAGCUUUCUCUUUCAGUUGUCCAAAAUCCUGUGCAGGCUCUAUACCACUGUCUUGUUCAAAACUGUAUUUUCUUCUAACCUUAUUGUAACUUCUGCUUUUUACUUUCUAGGCUGUAACUGAAGUCUGAAAGCACUCAGCUGUUAUGGUGGGAUCUGUGUUAAACACACAAAAAAGAAAUCACUGCGAUCUCUCAAGACAGACUGAUUGAUAUCUUAGACUACCUGACAAAUAACACGUUGUCUCAAAGCAAGGCCUUUAAGAUCUUCUACUGAUAAUACUCAUGAUAAUUAAAGGCCAUGGCCACUGUGAUUAGCCUAGAUUCUUUCACACACAAAAAAAUAAAGCCAACUUCUACUGGCUUUUGGUCAGUUAGUACCUCAGUAAGCCAUAGUUCCAAAAGCCUUGUGUCAUGGUGGAAGCUGUCACCUCCCUCUGGGUGACAAUGAAGCACAGGCACAGUUCUACAUGACCUGAUUUGAUAUUACCAGGUGGUAACACACUAACAAAAUCCACAGGACAACUUGAUCUCACAGAUGCAUCUCUGCCUUGAUGGUAUAUAAAUUUAAAGUGAAGGGCAGCACUUCUUAAUUACUUACAUUGUUUAUUUUAAUGUAGCUUACAGCUUUCAUUUUUAAACCAGAAAUGGAAGGACAUAGUUUCUCUCAAGACAGCAGGUUUGUGUUUUUAAAAGAUUUUAAAUUAAUACAUGUAUUUACUCACUGUAGCAGAAAUGCUAAGUAAGUCACAGUCUGAACCAGUGACUGAGCACCCAGUGGGAAGGCAGGGCCAACACAGGGGAGCUCAGGUGCAUGCAAUGUACCUGAGUGAGCAGAAGGGGUGGAGCCAGGAUCCACCCCUUCCCAAACCUCAUUUAAGGGUUGGCAGUGGAGGUAGGGAUUUUUUGCUGGAGAUCCCUGCCUCCCAGAGGUCUUCUGAAGGUCUUCCUGAGAGAGUGGGCUCCAUUAUGUUCAGGAGCAGAAUGAAAAUGAAAUCAUCAUUAGUCGGAUUGAUUCGGUGUCUGAAUACACAUUGUACCAUGAGGAUCCUCUUACCCUGAGCCAAAGUCUGUCAAAGUCAAUUCCAACAGCUGAUGAGGCCCUUCAGAUACCACUUGGAUAAAGAGGAUGAAUGCCAGCAGGCCCUUAACAAAGCAGUGGGUUGCAGCAUGCUGCUCGAAGAAGACAGGAAGGAUAGGUCAGUUUUUUCCUUGAAAUCCCAUCAUGGCAACUUCUGCAUUUGAUGAGUAUUACCAGCACAGAUAGACGCACCAUGGAGGGAAUCCCAGCCACACAGAAAAAAUGUGUACACAGUCAUCACUAUCUUUGGAUUCACCUCUGCAAGAUCUGGAAGAGCACACACUCAGGAAGCAGUUCUUCUUGCCAUGGAUACAGCAUCCCCAUUUGCCAUGGAAAGAGGACUUUGUUGGCUUUUGGACUGGUACCCAAAACUGGCACAUUAGCUCUGCCCCUGCCCACCAUAAUUUCACCUAAUACCCUCUUUACUAAGAUUCAGUCUUCAAGAUGUGUAGCAGUCCUGUCACACCAGUUUUAUGCAUGCAUUUUGAUCUUUCCACAGCAGAGACAAGUGUCUUUAAUGUGUAAAUUCACCUUUGAAAUGUCAAGACCACUUUACCAACUGUUAAAAGUUGUAAUUAAUAUUUGUAAGGGCUAAUAGCUAGCAUGCAUAAUCGAGGACUUAUCAGCUAACAUUUACAUUCUUCCUUCUGUUUGCAUUUUUAGAAAUAAUCAACUAAGACUAUUAUUGACCUGAAAACUGCCUGUCAUUCUGCUACUACAUAAUAGUCACAGAAUACACAUUUCAAAGCCACGGUUUAACAGAAAUACUUAAAACCUGACAACUUAUGAUGAUUCAACAAGAUGAGAAAAAGACAAGGGCUCAAUCUCCAAACCCUGAUCAGUGGGUGAGCAUUUCAUAAGCCUGAGCAAACAGGAGAGAUCAUUGCGAAGAAGUGCUUGAGUUGAUUUGCAUUGCUCUCAAUUAGGGAAGGUAGUCCAGCCAACCACUACUCCAGCAUUACUGACAAGGACAACAAUUUGAUUUCUAGAAGCACUACCUGACUGAAAGAUUCUGUGAUUAGGAACUGCCACUCCUUUUGGACACAAAAGGGGAAUCUUCACCUUGAAGUUCUGGGAUGCAGGUGGACUUGCUAGAUUCUUUCAGGGUCCAGUUCACUACAGUGUCAUCACUGACUUGCUGAGCAUCACCCAGGUCCUUGAAGACAUUCAGCAUGUACCUGAACAGUGGCAGAGAAAACAAGAUUUGGCUCAGAUCCUGGGCUAAGACCCAGCAAGCACACAGCCUGGAGGGAACAUGAACUCAUAGCAACACGCAAAGUCUUCAUGUAGUCUCAGCUCUGCUUUUUUUUUUUUUUUUUAAUUAUUUUAUUUUUCACCCCUUCAGCAAAAAGGAAGAGCCAUCUAUUGUAUCUGUAGUGCAAUUUCUGUUAAAUCAUUUAACCUCUAAUUCCUCUCACUUCGUUUCAUAUUCAGACAUUACUAGUGGACUGGAAAUUAUUCAGCCUGUAAAUACCAAGUUAAAAUAGAAAGAAUAACACUGCUUCUCCCUUGUUUGAGGGGAUUGCACUGGUUGUGCAAAUGCAGGGUGUGGAAAACACUGCCUAGUGGAUGAACUAGGGAGUAUUCUAGGUUACAUGACACUUAUUACUUUGCACAAGAAACUGGUAUUAGGCAGAGAGAAUGGCGUUGAAUCCUCUUGUUGAAGGAAAUAUUGGAUGACUUUAGCUUUGAAGAGCUUUCUUCCCUUGGCUGUAAGUGAGCGAACUAGAAAAAGCCACAGUAAAUCUUUCUAUUGCUGGGGAACAAAUGAGAAACUGUACUACAGAGAGUAUGGAAAAAGAAAAGCAAGCCCUUAUGACCUUAAGAACAUAAUAAAGAUGGUCAGGCCAGAGGAAGUCUGGGCAAAAACAAGGGACUGUGGAAGUUGCCUGUCAUGAUGACUAGUGGGAAGUAGAACAUGCACGAAGAAAAUGAGACAAUAGCUGGAAAUAUGUAGACACUGCUAAGACUAACCUUGAGCCACAUCCUUAUUUAGGGACUAACAACAAUUGAUGUUUAAUAUUCUAGUCCAAUGGCAAUGUUUUCCCUUAUCUUAGAGAAUCUGUUAUUCAUUUGUUUGAAUGCAUGUAAGCAUACAAACCUAAAGACAGGAUUGGGUUUAGCCUCGAGGCUUCUUCACAAGUAUAUGUUCUCAACAGACAGCAAAUGCUAAAGCUAGAAUUGUUUCAGAGUCUGCUUUGACACUUUCCACAUGACUCUUCUAGCAUGUUCCAGUCAUCAAACAACAUAUACAACCUUCAGUCAUCUUCUAAGUGACCUAUUUAGGAGCAAUUUCAGCAUGAAUAUAAAUUCAGUGAAAAUGUAAAUAUGCAUUCAACAGUUGCUGGAUGAAAUGGUGGGUGGUGAGAAGAAAGGGAGUUUCCAUCUGUCUAGCCUUACAGGGUGAGUGUAUUUUCACUUUGCAAGUGCUUUCUACUCAACAUAUAUGUGAUAUAUGAGAAGACCAAGAUGUGCUGUACUUGGGUAUAUGGAGAUAAAAAGAAACAUCCCUCAGUUGUAAGAUGUAUGUAGCUAUGAACUAAUACCUCUUUUUUGCUGUUUAAUGCGCUGUUAAAAACAACACUAGCUGCCUCCCUUACAUUCAGCCAAGAUCCUGUUGUGCUCAGAGCUCUCUGCUGACUUAAAUUUUGAGUUGCUCUGACUUAAUCUGAAUUUCACUAGAAGUAUAUUAGAAAAAGUGUUUUUGUCGUCUUUGAGUAUCUGGAGAAAUAUAACCCUAGCAAGAGUCGUCCUGGUAUCCAGAACAGUGUAACAGGAUGUGGUGUCUAACACGCAGGGCUGUACAUGAGCAUCAGCGCUCAAAAUCUUGCCAAGAAUUUAGUUUUCUAGAUGCCAGUCCAAUAUUAGCCAACACAAAACUUGACAGUGGAAAAGAGACAAGCAAAGCUGUUCAUUCAUUACAGAAUAGCUUAGGCCAGGUAAAGCUGGGAAAAAUAUAAAAUGUAAAAUAAUAAAAAAAUUGCAGUGGCAGGUGUGUCAAUUAGGAGCUAAUUAUCUUCUGUUAGUAAGUGAUAUACAGAUGUUCUGAGCCUUACAAAAAGAAACAGAAAUUCCAGAGGUGACAGCAUUUUGACUUUGUUGAAGAAUCUCUGUGUUGAAAAAUCUACUGUCUGUUGUAGUUAAGUCUAUUAGUUUCAUUUGUGGGCUUUUUUUUUUCUUUUUUUUUUUUUUUCCUUUUAUUCUUUUUUUUUUUCCUUUUUGGAGAGGAGGGCUAGGGAAGACAAUGAGAUAGUACUGUGUCAUCAUAGGAAAACAUAUGAGGUUGAACUCAUUUUGUGAACUACCUUCUAUUAUCCAGUUUUAAAUAACCCACUUUAUCCUUUGGGGUGGUGAAUAUCAUUUCCCAGAAAACAAAACAAGCUCACUAGUGGAUGUGGUCUGUCUAAAACUAAUCUUACUGAAGAAGAAAAAUGUAAGAAAUAAUACCCGUCAUCACCAGCAUCUAAGAUCACAUCAAGAAAUGCAAUUUUGGAGGAUCUUUUUGAUUGGAUGCUUUUGUUUUCCCUUUUUGAAUGCAUGUAUUUUCAUGCAGAGUCAGCAAAAACACCAGUACAGACUGAGGAACCAGGCAACUGGGAAUGAGCACUGUGGAUUUGGAGAGGACCUCCAGCCCUUUGAUGUUACAAAUGUCCAUGCCAAAACAAUUUUUGUAGUGAUAUUAAGCCCCUUGUGAACGCAGCUGUGUGGGGUUAUCUUCAUGGCUCUCCUGGAAAGCUAUUCUGGAACCUCAGUCCCAGAACUUAGACUUUGGAAUAUCCAAGUGGAACUCAUUUCUGAGUGAUUACACCAAGGCAAGGUUUAAUCUCUGGGAGAUGUUUCAGAGCUGAAAAACAGAAAAGCAGAAUCUCCAUGACCAGAUUUCAGUUUUGUCUACAAAACACUCACUACCUUCUCUCAGCAUUCAGAAGCACAGUGAGUUAAACUGCUGUAUGCUUGAGCUGGUGGGAUCACCAUCGUCUGCAAUAAAGUACCCAGCUUCCAACUGAAAAACAGAAGAGCAGACUCUCCUUGGCCAGAAGUCAAUGCUGAGAUCUCUGUGCGUACUUCUUCAGCAUGAUGGACAG
This 6503-nucleotide long non-coding RNA is filed under the name Gallus gallus (chicken). RNAcentral describes it as "lncRNA (ENSGALG00010008942.1)". The record is from RNAcentral. Lineage: Eukaryota; Metazoa; Chordata; Aves; Galliformes; Phasianidae.